Molecule: ribosomal RNA, 465 nt
Filed under: uncultured bacterium
Lineage: Bacteria
Description: partial 16S ribosomal RNA
Rfam family: Bacterial small subunit ribosomal RNA
Source: RNAcentral
CCUACGGGGGGCAGCAGUGGGGAAUAUUGCGCAAUGGGCGAAAGCCUGACGCAGCGACGCCGCGUGAGGGAUGAAGGUCUUCGGAUCGUAAACCUCUGUCAGCAGGGAAGAACGGUCACUGUGCUAAUCAGCAGUGAAUUGACGGUACCUGCAAAGGAAGCACCGGCUAAUUCCGUGCCAGCAGCCGCGGUAAUACGGAGGGUGCGAGCGUUAAUCGGAAUUUCUGGGCGUAAAGCGGUCGUAGGCGGUAUGUCAAGUCAAGGGUGAAAUCCCCGCGCUCAACGUGGGUACUGCCGUUGAAACUGGCAAACUGGAGUGUGUGAGAGGAUAGUGGAAGUCGAGGUGUAGGAGUGAAAUCCGUAGAUAUCUGGAGGAACAUCAGUGGCGAAGGCGACUAUCUGGCACAUAACUGACGCUGAGGAGCGAAAGCGUGGGUAGCAAACAGGAUUAGAUACCCUUGUAGUC